UGGCACUCUAGGGAGACUGCCGGUGACAAACCGGAGGAAGGUGAGGAUGACGUCAAGUCAGCAUGCCCCUUACGCUCUGGGCUACACACGUGCUACAAUGGCGCGGACAAAGGGUCGCGAGCGCGCGAGCGUGAGCCAAUCCCAAAAACCGCGUCUCAGUUCAGAUCGCAGGCUGCAAC
Molecule: ribosomal RNA, 179 nt
Filed under: uncultured cyanobacterium
Lineage: Bacteria; Bacillati; Cyanobacteriota
Description: partial 16S ribosomal RNA
Rfam family: Bacterial small subunit ribosomal RNA
Source: RNAcentral